AUUGAACGCUGGCGGCAUGCCUAACACAUGCAAGUCGAACGGAAACGACGAAAACAAUCCCUUCGGGGUGCGUCUUCGGGCGUCGAGUGGCGGACGGGUGCGUAACGCGUAGGAAUCUACCUUUUAGUGGGGGACAACUCGGGGAAACUCGAGCUAAUACCGCAUAAGCCUUACGAGGGAAAGCAGGGGAUCUUCGGACCUUGUGCUAUUAGAUGAGCCUGCGUCGGAUUAGCUUGUUGGUGAGGUAAUGGCUCACCAAGGCGACGAUCCGUAGCUGGUCUGAGAGGAUGAUCAGCCACACUGGGACUGAGACACGGCCCAGACUCCUACGGGAGGCAGCAGUGGGGAAUAUUGGACAAUGGGCGCAAGCCUGAUCCAGCAAUGCCGCGUGUGUGAAGAAGGCCUUAGGGUUGUAAAGCACUUUUCAGUAGGGAAGAAAAGCACAGGAUUAAUACUCCUGUGUCUUGACGGUACCUACAGAAGAAGCACCGG
RNAcentral lists this ribosomal RNA (492 nucleotides) under uncultured bacterium. Its description in RNAcentral is "bacterial SSU rRNA". It matches the Rfam family "Bacterial small subunit ribosomal RNA", at positions 30 to 496 of the family's 1533-position model. The record is from RNAcentral.